GUGCCAGCAGCCGCGGUAAGACGGAGGAGGCAAGCGUUAUCCGGAAUUAUUGGGCGUAAAGGGUCCGCAGGUGGCAGUUCAAGUCUGCAGUCAAAGGUCGGGGCUCAACCCCGGAAAGGCUGUGGAAACUGAACAGCUAGAGUACGGUAGGGGCAGAGGGAAUUCCCGGUGUAGCGGUGAAAUGCGUAGAGAUCGGGAAGAACAUCGGUGGCGAACGCGCUCUACUGGAGAGCAACUGACACUCAGGGACGAAAGCUAGGGGAGCGAAUGGGAUUAGAUACCCCAGUAGUCCUAGCCGUAAACGAUGGAUACUAGGCGUGGCUCGUAUCGACCCGAGCCGUGCCGUAGCUAACGCGUUAAGUAUCCCGCCUGGGGAGUACGCACGCAAGUGUGAAACUUAAAUGAAUUGACGGGG
RNAcentral lists this ribosomal RNA (415 nucleotides) under uncultured prokaryote. RNAcentral describes it as "bacterial SSU rRNA". It matches the Rfam family "Bacterial small subunit ribosomal RNA", at positions 505 to 918 of the family's 1533-position model. The record is from RNAcentral.